This 441-nucleotide ribosomal RNA is filed under the name uncultured bacterium. RNAcentral's name for it is "partial 16S ribosomal RNA". It matches the Rfam family "Bacterial small subunit ribosomal RNA", at positions 339 to 795 of the family's 1533-position model. The record is from RNAcentral.
CCACGGGCGGCAGCAGUAGGGAAUCUUUCACAAUGGGCGAAAGCCUGAUGGAGCAACGCCGCGUGCAGGAUGAAGGCCUUCGGGUUGUAAACUGCUUUUAUAAGCGAGAAAUAUGAUGGUAACUUAUGAAUAAGGAUCGGCUAACUACGUGCCAGCAGCCGCGGUCAUACGUAGGAUCCGAGCAUUAUCCGGAGUGACUGGGUGUAAAGAGUUGCGUAGGUGGCAUAAGAAGUAGCUAGUGAAAUCUGGGGGCUCAACCAUUCAGACUAUUAGCUAAACUGUUAAGCUAGAGACCGUUAGGGGUAACUGGAAUUUCUAGUGUAGGAGUGAAAUCCGUAGAUAUUAGAAGGAACACCAAUAGCGUAGGUAGGUUACUGGGACUUUUCUGACACUAAGGCACGAAAGCGUAGGGAGCAAACGGGAUUAGAUACCCCUGUAGUC